RNAcentral lists this long non-coding RNA (1101 nucleotides) under Homo sapiens (human). RNAcentral describes it as "non-protein coding lnc-C1orf61-2:33". Lineage: Eukaryota; Metazoa; Chordata; Mammalia; Primates; Hominidae. The record is from RNAcentral.
CUACCCUCGGCGGAGAGCGAAGGCUCGCACCGGCCGUGGCAUCCAAUCCCUGUCCUGCCAGCUAUAGCCGGGCGGGGAGGAGGGAGCGGUUCCGGGUUCAGAAAGAGAAAAUCUCCAUCUAAGGCGAAGGGGUAGAAGGGAGGUCGAGGGAAGGCAAUAAAGUCACUUGUUUAAUCUCCUCUAUGCUGUAAAAUCCCCGAAGGCAGAAAUCACAUAGUCCUAAGUGUAUGGCACACAGAAGACGCUCAAUAAAUGGCUGAUUGGCAACUGGCCAUCGGACCCUGCUCGGAUGCAGCGCCAGUCCCGCCGCCCUACGCAGCAGUCCCCUCACCCCUCUCCCCCGGCGUCCUCCCUGCUGUGACAAGGCAAAUGAGACAAUGGGUUCGGCCAACCAACGCUUCCAAGCCUGCGGCCCGCGGCCGGGAAGUGUCCUCAAUCCGCUCGUCUAACACUGCAGUGGGUGCGGCCAAAGACCCCAGUCCACUCUCCGCGCCCCUGCCAAUGGGCGGGAAGCGGGGCCUCAGCCUCACUGCGCUGGCUCUGCCAGUGGCAGACGGAAUCAUCAGCCAACCGCACCCGGGCAGGACGCAUGCGCACCCAGAAGAUGUAGCCCUAGAUGGGGAAAAACCGAGCCGAGAGAGCCAAUUUUGGCUGGGUCUUGCCAGGUCUUGCCAGGUCUUCCCGGAGAGGGUGCGCAUGCGUAAAUCGAACACCUCCUCUAAAUCUAACGCCCUGCUCAGUUCUAGAGGGGACAGCGCCCUCUGUCCUCCUGGCCGUUUUCCUGAACUCCUAACCUCAGUCAAUACUGCCUCGGGACCUGGCGCUGCCUGGGAGAUCCAGAAGAAAGGAAGCAUCUUGGCCCCUGCCUUGGGGGCGACACGACCGUCCCCAAACACAGCGAGUCACUGGCCUGGGUCUUUGUGCAGAGGCCCCUCUAGGAGCGGGGAACCAACGAUGGCACGAACAUUGAUUUGAGGAGGAUGCUUCGCAGUUUACGAAAAAAUGAGUGCUAGAGGCGUUCAGAAACGGGAAAGAUCACUUUGUGCUCCUGUGAUCUGAAGGCUGCGUGAAGAAGAUGAGGCUUGGAAAAUAGGUACAAAG